This 496-nucleotide ribosomal RNA is filed under the name uncultured bacterium. Its description in RNAcentral is "partial 16S ribosomal RNA". It matches the Rfam family "Bacterial small subunit ribosomal RNA", at positions 28 to 507 of the family's 1533-position model. The record is from RNAcentral.
GAUGAACGCUGGCGGCGUGCCUAAUACAUGCAAGUCGAGCGAACGGACGAGAAGCUUGCUUUCUGAUGUUAGCGGCGGACGGGUGAGUAACACGUGGAUAACCUACCUAUAAGACUGGGAUAACUUCGGGAAACCGGAGCUAAUACCGGAUAAUAUUUUGAACCGCAUGGUUCAAAAGUGAAAGACGGUCUUGCUGUCACUUAUAGAUGGAUCCGCGCUGCAUUAGCUAGUUGGUAAGGUAACGGCUUACCAAGGCAACGAUGCAUAGCCGACCUGAGAGGGUGAUCGGCCACACUGGAGCUGAGACACGGUCCAGACUCCUACGGGAGGCAGCAGUAGGGAAUCUUCCGCAAUGGGCGAAAGCCUGACGGAGCAACGCCGCGUGAGUGAUGAAGGUCUUCGGAUCGUAAAACUCUGUUAUUAGGGAAGAACAUAUGUGUAAGUAACUGUGCACAUCUUGACGGUACCUAAUCAGAAAGCCACGGCUAACUACGUG